This 72-nucleotide transfer RNA is filed under the name Camelus bactrianus (Bactrian camel). It matches the Rfam family "tRNA". From Rfam's summary of the family: Transfer RNA (tRNA) molecules are approximately 80 nucleotides in length. The record is from Rfam by way of RNAcentral. Lineage: Eukaryota; Metazoa; Chordata; Mammalia; Artiodactyla; Camelidae. RNAcentral also lists the same sequence under 3 other names.
GGGUAUAUAGCUCAGUGGUAGAGUGCAUGCCUAGCAUGUAGGAGGUCCUGGGUUCAAUCCCCAGCACCUCCA